Molecule: long non-coding RNA, 1761 nt
Filed under: Canis lupus familiaris (dog)
Lineage: Eukaryota; Metazoa; Chordata; Mammalia; Carnivora; Canidae
Description: lncRNA (ENSCAFG00040004308.1)
Source: RNAcentral
ACCCGCGACCGUGCGGUCGGGGGACGCGGGCAGGCGGGGGGGCGGGGGGGGCGGGUCGGCGGCGACGGGGAGGAGGCGCACAGCGGGCGAGGGCCGGGAGAGCGCGUGGGGAAGGGCCGGUCCCGGGAAGGGCGCGCCAACGAAGGCGCGAGCCGGGCCACCGGGUAAACGCGCACGGGAUCCCACCGCCACCAGCACGAGGGCGGUCCCGCGACGCCCGGGACGCCGGCCGGCCUCAGCACCCUUGGCAGGCCUCCCCGCAAACCGGGCCCCACACCGCCCGGGCCCAGGCACGCGCGACCCCCGCCGCGGGGGUCCCGUCCGAACCUCCGUCCGUCCAUCCGCCCGUCCGUCCAUCCGUCCGGUCCAACCCGGAGUCACGACCCGGGGAGGCGCCCCCAGGCGGGAGCUGGCCCGACCCACACGCGCCCGCCGAGCCACCGCCGGCGGCGACUCGGCUCGGGAGCGGGCGGCGGCCCAGACAGCCAGCCGGCCGCUAGCGCGGCACACACGCACACACACGGGGUGAGUGGCGUGGGGGGGGGCGGGCCGCCCCAACCCCCCGGCCGCGCGCACGCUCGCACACGCACGCGGGCAACACACCCCGCACCGGACGCCGGCCCGGCCCGGCGGGAUCCUCCCCCGUCUCGGAGGGGGGAGGCGCAGGCCGCGGUAGGUAGGCAAAGAGCGGCACUCUGCCCAAACACGUCGCGACGGGAGUCCAACCCCGCGUCGCUGGCCACACUACACGCGCAGAGGAGGGGCAGCGGCUGGGGGCUCCGGUACCCCAAGGCACCCUCUCGGAUCGCUAGAGAAGGCUUUCUCACCGAGGGCGCAUCGCCCCCACCCGUUCGUCCUCCCAAACGGGCCCCACCAGGCGGCGCUCCGGGGCCGACAGGGCUCGCGGGGCGGGGGGCGGGUCUCCGGCAAGGGACAGGCACAGGGCAACCCCGAGCGCUCGCGGCCGGUGCCCCCUCGAGGACGCCACCUCCGCCUCGCCCGCGCACGGCGUGGUCACGUCACCGCCCAGAGGAGAGAGCUCCCCGCCUCCCGCGAGGCGGGCGAGAGAGAGGGACGGAGACGGGGACACGACCCGUGCCGGGAGAGAGGGGCAGCCCCUCGGGCUGGCCAAGCGCCGCGGCGCUGGCCCGGCCCGCCGCGGGCGCUCACGAGCCCCGCCAAGUCCUCCGAGUCACACCGCCCCACGCCACCCACCCCCCGCCGGCGCGGCGAGGGGGGGAGGAGAGGAGAGGGGAAAGGAAGACGAGGCGCCCGCGCCCCCGCCAGGGGCACGGGUGCGCCUCCCUUGCCGACUUCUUCCACCACCCGCUCCUCGGACACGCCGACGACGGCGGCGGCAGCCCGAGGGGAGUCGCCGGGGAAGGAAACGACGCCACCGCUCGGCCUCAGGAGGGCCGGGCGCAACGCGCUCAAGCGCGCCCAGGCCGGGCGGUGAGCAGCGCGGCGUCGGGCCGGCCCUCCCCGCGGAGGAGGGGAGGGCCGCUCGCCACGGACCCAGGGCCUUCGGGAAAGGCCGGCGAGAGUGUCCGCCGCGUCCGAGGACCCCGGUCCCGCCAGCGCCGCGAGGCAAGAAGGCGGGAGGCCGGGGUCGGGCCGGAGUCCGCACCACCCCCAACCCCGGCGCGCGCCCCCCGCGCACCCGCCACGACGGCCGGGCGCGGAGGAGCCGGGGAGGGAGGGGCCCGCGGGCAGAACGAGAAGAGCGGUCGCAUCCGCCGUGGACGCCCGUCCCUCGUCUGA